Non-coding RNA from Myodes glareolus (Bank vole), 565 nucleotides. The record is from RefSeq and is a predicted model, not a curated record. Lineage: Eukaryota; Metazoa; Chordata; Mammalia; Rodentia; Cricetidae.
AUGUUAACUACAAACUGUGUUGUGCAGUUUUUGAAGGACAGCACCCUCACUGAACCAGUGGUAAUGGCACUUCUCAAAUACUGGCCAAAGACUCACAGUCCAAAAGAAGUAAUGUUCUUAAAUGAAUUAGAAGAAAUUCUAGAUGUAAUUGAACCGUCAAAAUUUAUGAAGAUCAUGGAGCCUCUCUUUCGAGAAUUAGCCAAGUGUGUUUCCAGCCCUCACUUCCAGGUGGCAGAGUGGGCACUGUAUUACUGGAACAAUGAGUACAUCAUGAGUUUAAUUAGUGACAAUGCAGCGAAGAUCCUGCCCAUCAUGUUUCCAUCCCUGUACCGCAAACUCGAAGACCCACUGGAACAAGACAAUACACAGCUUGAUAUACAGCGCCCUGACACUCUUCAUGGAGAUGAGCCAAAAACUCUCUGGUGACUGGACCCAGCAGUUCAAAGCAGAGAAACUGAAAGAGAAGCUAAAAAUGAAACAACAAGAAGAAGCAUGGGUUAAAAUAGAAAAUCUAGCCAAAGCGAAUCCCCGGGUACUACAGAGGAGAGUAACACAGGAGUGUUGA